Molecule: long non-coding RNA, 2253 nt
Organism: Hemicordylus capensis (graceful crag lizard)
Lineage: Eukaryota; Metazoa; Chordata; Lepidosauria; Squamata; Cordylidae
Exons: 3
Source: RefSeq, a predicted model, not a curated record
GUCAAUUACAAUUUUGUUUCAUCAAUAUGGGCCUGGCUCACACAAUCAUUCAAAUCUAGGUGUAGCGUAGGUUACCGAUAUGUGAGCCCACGCCAAGGUCCAAGAUGAAUCUGAGGUUCCUGCCUUGGCAUGGAUUCGCACAAUCACACUAAUUUCAGUAACCCACAUUAAACGUAGGUUUAAACAAUUGUGUGAGCCAGGCCUAACUUAACCAAUUAAUUGACAUGCUUCUUUACUCAGAAAAAAACCCUACAGUUCAGUCGAAUUUAUAAUGCGAUCCUGUGCAUUGCAGUCGUAGGAUAGGCCAUUUCUUGAAACUGAGGCGGGAGAAAGGGAAAACUGACGCACCUUCUCCUGAAAACCAAUUCACAGCAAAUGUCUCCAGGGAGAAAAGUCAGCCGGCUGUGUGGUGAAGCCAGCCCGACUGACUAUGUUAAAAUGUUCCCUGUCUGAGUGCAUGGAUUAUAUGGAGUUAAGGAACUAAUUAGUACAAGAUUUUGGAAUAAUUCCCAGUAGCUGGUUGGCAUGUCUGAGGCCUCUUCAGAUAGACUUGGCUGGCUCCAACCAUACAGGGCACAGUUUGCUCCAGGAGGAUGACACCAAAGCACAAAUCUCCCGCUGGAGCUGCAAAGGAGCCGCUGGCAUUCGCCAGUUGCUGCCUCGCUGCCCUCCAACACACAUUCCCCAGAUGCUCUUGGACAAGUCAGGGCCUGUCUGUCGGCACUCCAGAUUUAUUUAUCCGGGAAAUGUCCUGAGCUGAAUUGUGCUUAACCUUCAGAUAUCGCAUUUCAAACAUGGUCUCUUUUCUACAUGAACACAGUCUGAACAUACGGUGCUGCCUUGUUCUGAGUCAGAUUUAGUGCUGUCUGCCCGGCAGCAAGUCUCAGGCAGAGAUAUUUCCUGCCAUGUUGCAGAAGACCUUUUAAACUCAAGACUGAACCUGGGACCUUCAGCACGGACUCUGUCAUUGACCUAAAGAGGCUCCCUGAACAAGCUGAAUUCAAGCUGAAGUGGAUGUGUAGCUCCAAACUUGAGUAUAAAUCCAAGCUUACGCGAAUGUAUAAAUUCAAGCUUAAUUGAGUGUAAAUCCACUCCAGGCUUAAUCAGACGUCUGAAACAUCCUUGGAUUGGGUCACACCACAUUGGUCCAUCCAGCUCAGAACUGUCUGCUUUGACUGGCAGCAAAUUUCCAGCGUCUGAGGAACAGCAAGCCCUUUCUGAACUAACUGAAUUCCAAGGAAUUCUCAAAGGUAGCCCCAUGUGUAGUAUAAUGCAUUAUGGUAAUGUCUCUGCUAACUGGGCAGUGAGGUAACUUUUCAAGUGGUGGUUACCUUGUACGUAGCAGGGAGAAAGCAACUGCCCCUAUCCAGCCCCAAACAGCAUCCUCCCAGUGACUGUUGUUGCAGGUUUCUGCAGUGGCGGAUUAAUAGAGAGGCAGAGUAGGCGUUUGCCUCCAGCAGCAAAAUUUGAGGAGCGGCAAUUUGCCGCUCCUCAACAUUUGCUGCCCCUCUCUGGGGGCAGCUGUGGGGAGGGGGCGAGAGGAAAGUAAACCCCCCCCCAUUUACCUUCUAAUACUGCUGCCUGUGCAGCGGGAUGGGGUGACGGAGGCAGCGAGAGAGAGCCCCUUCCCAAGUGACUGAAUGGCCCUGUCUGCAGGCAGCCCGUUUGGGGCCUUUCUCCGUGUGUGCCACAGGGCCAUUCAGUCACUUGGGAAGGGGCUCGCUCUCCCUGCCGCUGGCCCCGUCACCCCAUCCCGCCGCGCUGUCCCCAGAGGGGGCGACAAAUCCUUACCUGCCGACGGGCAACAAAAAGCUUAAUCCGCCCCUGGGUUUCUGCCUCGUGCAACUUUCUUUUUACAUGGGGAGCUCUUCUGGAAGAGGGAACAAUCUUCAGGCCUUCUUGUAGCACACUGGUUUGGGAAUCACACCCCCCCACACACACACACACACCCCGCAGGGCAAAGAAGCGCCUUUCAAAGUGGUGGCUCUCUUAUGCUAAGCUGGGGAAAAGCAACUGUCCCUGUUCAACCCCAACACAGCACCCCUCUCAGCCGCUCCGCUUUGUGCUGCCCAUGAAGAGGAGGAGACCAUCCAGGAACGGGGUGUUUGUGUGUGUGUGUGAGACAGAACAUCCUGUUGUCUCAUGGUUGUUCUGAUUUAAUUGUAUUUUGAUUUUGUAGACCUUGAUUUUGUAAGUUGCCUUGGGCAUUUUCUGAAUGGAAAGGUGGCAUUAAAAAAUCUGCUGACAACAACA